Molecule: ribosomal RNA, 620 nt
Filed under: uncultured Cyanobacterium sp.
Lineage: Bacteria; Bacillati; Cyanobacteriota; Cyanophyceae; Chroococcales; Geminocystaceae
Description: bacterial SSU rRNA
Rfam family: Bacterial small subunit ribosomal RNA
Source: RNAcentral
UACGAGAGUUUUUAACUCAAGUGGCGGACGGGUGAGUAACACGUAAGAAUUUGCCUUUAGGAGGGGGAUAACAACUGGAAACGGUUGCUAAUACCCCAUAUGCUUUCGAGUGAAAUGGAUUUUUCCGCCUAGAGAGAAGCUUGCGGCUGAUUAGCUUGUUGGUAAGGUAAUGGCUUACCAAGGCGACGAUCAGUAUCUGGUUUGAGAGGAUGAUCAGACACACUGGAACUGAGACACGGUCCAGACUCCUACGGGAGGCAGCAGUGGGGAAUUUUCCGCAAUGGGCGAAAGCCUGACGGAGCAAUCUCGCGUGAGGGAUGACGGCCUAUGGGUUGUAAACCUCUUUUUUCAGGGAGGAACAAAAUGACGUGUACCUGAAGAAUAAGCAUCGGCUAACUCCGUGCCAGCAGCCGCGGUAAGACGGAGGAUGCAAGUGUUAUCCGGAAUCACUGGGCGUAAAGCGUCUGUAGGUGGUUUAAUAAGUCAACUGUUAAAUCUUGAAGCUCAACUUCAAAAUCGCAGUCGAAACUAUUAGACUAGAGUAUAGUAGGGGUAAAGGGAAUUUCCAGUGGAGCGGUGAAAUGCGUAGAGAUUGGAAAGAACACCGAUGGCGAAGGCAC